Long non-coding RNA from Drosophila rhopaloa, 596 nucleotides. RefSeq lists it as uncharacterized. The record is from RefSeq and is a predicted model, not a curated record. The transcript is spliced from 3 exons. NCBI's taxonomy places the organism in Eukaryota, Metazoa, Arthropoda, Insecta, Diptera, Drosophilidae.
UAAAUAGUCGUACUUUUUUCUCUUUCUUCUUUUUUUCUCCAAAAUUAGGAUUUGGUUUGCUUUUAAUUUUUGUAGUGUAUAUAUUAAUGCGCUGGCAAUUGGAGCUACAAAUUGGGGGUGAAUGUGUUUCGUGCACACAGAUGCACUUUAUGUAAACAUGUGGGCACACGGACAAGGUUGUGAAAGAAGAAGUGUAUUGUUGAGGCCAAGAAGAAGAAGAAGCGAAAAGGACAACGAGUCGAACACUCCCACACAUGUGCAUUUCUAAACAGAUAAAAAGGGGGCAGCCAAGCUUAAUGUAUUUUUGGCACACACUCGCCCCACCUCCCACCCUCCCUUUCUCGACUUCGCUUAUCCCAUUUCGCUUUGGUGCAUUCAACCUGCCGGGGAGCAAGACAGGUGCAUUUACAGUUCCUCGAGAUCAACAGCUGUAUGACAAAGGUCAGCCUUAUUUCGAGAAAGGUCUUGGAGACAACGCAAUUUGCUACACUUUAAUGCGUAGAAAAAUAAGGAAAAGUGCAGUAAAUAUUCCCACCCCCUUUUCCCACACCUUGUUAUUGUUGGCCGAGCUUACAGGGGUUGUUGUUGCUGCGUAG